UACGGAGGGAGCUAGCGUUAUUCGGAAUUACUGGGCGUAAAGCGCACGUAGGCGGCUUUGCAAGUUAGAGGUGAAAGCCUGGGGCUCAACUCCAGAACUGCCUUUAAAACUGCAUCGCUUGAAUCCAGGAGAGGUGAGUGGAAUUCCGAGUGUAGAGGUGAAAUUCGUAGAUAUUCGGAAGAACACCAGUGGCGAAGGCGGCUCACUGGACUGGUAUUGACGCUGAGGUGCGAAAGCGUGGGGAGCAAACAGG
RNAcentral lists this ribosomal RNA (253 nucleotides) under uncultured bacterium. Its description in RNAcentral is "partial 16S ribosomal RNA". It matches the Rfam family "Bacterial small subunit ribosomal RNA", at positions 524 to 776 of the family's 1533-position model. The record is from RNAcentral.